GGAUUGUGGCUCAGUGGCAGAGCUGCUUGCCUCGGAAGUAUGAGGCACUGGGUUCGAUCCUCAGCACCA
Molecule: transfer RNA, 69 nt
Filed under: Marmota monax (woodchuck)
Lineage: Eukaryota; Metazoa; Chordata; Mammalia; Rodentia; Sciuridae
Description: tRNA.Pro
Source: RNAcentral